Ochotona princeps (American pika) is the source of this 598-nucleotide long non-coding RNA. RefSeq lists it as uncharacterized. Lineage: Eukaryota; Metazoa; Chordata; Mammalia; Lagomorpha; Ochotonidae. The record is from RefSeq and is a predicted model, not a curated record. The transcript is spliced from 3 exons.
CAGAAGCUUCACCUAAUUGGAAAUGGUGUACGUGGUCCUCAGCAAACCAUAUCCAUGUGGUUUGAUCCAAGAGAAAACUUGGUUUCCAGUAUCUGAGUUUCCAGUAUCUGCCUGCUCUUCAGUAACUAAGUAAGGCAUUGACAAUGGCAGAGAGUCCAGCCUCCCAUUAUCAAGAUUUAACCAACAGUUUCAUUGCGAGUCCAUCCUUGAUCCGGAAGUAAAGGCGCACACUGUACUGAUCCUCACAUCUGGACAUGGCAGUCUCCACUACACAGUCACUGUAAAUCCCCCCAAGUGAAAAGCCACAAAACAAAAUCAGAAACAGGAAGAGAAAACAGAACUUUACAAUGCCAUGGAAUAAGAUGAUAUGCUACUGGAUAUGACAGUCUCCAUUACACAAUUAUUAUACAUCCCCUUAAAUGGAAAGCCACAAAACAAAAUCAACAACAGAAAGAAAAUAGAAACUAACAACAUCAUGAAGCUAAUAACAUGCUACUGAAUGAAUGUAUCAUUGAAGAAAUGAAAAAGGAAAUCAAGAACCUUCUUGAAGAAAAUCAUGCUAAUAUGAUCUGUGAGUCAAUGAAGAAUUGAAUGAGAA